Molecule: ribosomal RNA, 1468 nt
Filed under: uncultured Bordetella sp.
Lineage: Bacteria; Pseudomonadati; Pseudomonadota; Betaproteobacteria; Burkholderiales; Alcaligenaceae
Description: partial 16S-23S ribosomal RNA intergenic spacer
Rfam family: Bacterial small subunit ribosomal RNA
Source: RNAcentral
GUUUGAUUAUGGCUCAGAUUGAACCUUUGGCGGGAUGCUUUACAUGCAAGUCGAACGGCAGCCUGGACUUCGGUCUGGUGGCAGUGGCGAACGGGUGAGUAAUGUAUCGGAACGUGCCUAGCGUAAGCAGGGGAUAACUACGCAGCGUAGCUAAUAUUGCGCCGCUUUCCCUUCAGGAAAGCGGGGGCCUUCGGGCCUCCGCACUAUGAAACGGCCGAUAUCCGGAUUGGCUAGUUGGUGGGGUAACGGCUCGCAAGGCGACGAUCCGUAGCUGGUUUUGAGAGGACGACUGACCACACUGGGACUGAGACGCAGCCCAGACUCCCUGCAGGAGGCGGCAGUGGGGAGCAUUUUGGACAAGUAAGGAAACCCGCAGUCCAGCCAUCCCGCGUGUGCGAUGAAGGCCUUCGGGUUGUAAGCACUUUGGCAGGAAAGAAACGGCACGGGAUAAUACCCCGUACAACUGACGAGCACCUGCAGAUAAACACCGGCUAACUACGUGCCAACAGCCGCGGUAAUACGUAGGAAUUGCAAGCGUUAAUCGGAAUUACUGGGCGUAAAGCGUGCGCAGGCGGUUCGGAAAAGAUGUGAAAUCCCGGAAGCUUAGCCUGGAACUGCAUUUUAACUACCGAAACUAGAGUGUGUCAGAGGGAGGUGGAAUUCCGCGUGGCAGUGAAAUGCGUAGAUAUGCGGAGGAACACCGAUGGCGGCAACCUCCUGGGGAUAACACUGACGCUCAUGCGAAAGCGUGGGGGAGCAAACAGGAUUAGAUACCCUGGUAGUCCACGCCCUAAGCUUGAUGUCAACUAGCUGUUGGAGCCUUCGGAGCCUUGGUAGCGCAAUAACGUGAAGUUGACCGCCUGGGAGAUACGGUCGCAAGAUUAAAACUCAAAGGAAUUGACGGGGACCCGCACAAGCGGUGGGUGAUGUGGAUUAAUUCGAUGCAAAAACUGCCCACCCUUGACAUGUCUCGGAAUCCCGAAGAGAUUUGGGAGUGGCUCGCAAGAAGAGAACCGGAACACAGGUGCUGCAUGGCUGUCGUCAGCUCGUGUCGUGAGAUGUUGGGUUAAGUCCCGCAACGGGCGCAACCCUUGUCGUGGAUUGGUACGAAAGGGCACUCUAAUGAGACUGCCGGUGACAAACCGGAGGGAAGGUGAGGAUGACGUCAAGUCCUCAUGGCCCUCAUGGUGGGGCUUCACACGUCAUACAAUGGUCGGGACAGAGGGUCGCCAACCCGCGAGAACCAAUCCCAGAAACCCGAUCGUAGUCCGGAUCGCAGUCUGCAACUCGACGCGUGAAGUCAGAAUCGCUUAGUAAUCGCGGAUCCAGCAUGUCGCGGUGAAUACGUUCGGGUCUUGUACACACCGCCCGUCACACCAUGGGGUGGGUUUACCAGAAGUAGUUAGCUAACCGUAAGAGGCGAUUACCACGGUAAGUUCAUGACUGGGGUGAAGUCGUAACUCAGUCG